GACGAACGCUGGCGGCGUGCUUAACACAUGCAAGUCGAACGGAAAGGCCCUGCUUGCAGGGUACUCGAGUGGCGAACGGGUGAGUAACACGUGGGUGAUCUGCCCUGCACUUCGGGAUAAGCCUGGGAAACUGGGUCUAAUACCGGAUAGGAGCCAUUUUUAGUGUGAUGGUUGGAAAGUUUUUUCGGUGUAGGAUGAGCUCGCGGCCUAUCAGCUUGUUGGUGGGGUAAUGGCCUACCAAGGCGGCGACGGGUAGCCGGCCUGAGAGGGUGGACGGCCACAUUGGGACUGAGAUACGGCCCAGACUCCUACGGGAGGCAGCAGUGGGGAAUAUUGCACAAUGGGCGCAAGCCUGAUGCAGCGACGCCGCGUGGGGGAUGACGGCCUUCGGGUUGUAAACUCCUUUCGCUAGGGACGAAGCUUUUUGUGACGGUACCUAGAUAAGAAGCACCGGCUGACUACGUG
This 465-nucleotide ribosomal RNA is filed under the name uncultured bacterium. RNAcentral's name for it is "partial 16S ribosomal RNA". It matches the Rfam family "Bacterial small subunit ribosomal RNA", at positions 28 to 507 of the family's 1533-position model. The record is from RNAcentral.